UUUUUUUUUUUUUUUUUGUUUUUUUAGGGCCACACCCACAGCAUAUGGAGGUUCCCAGGCUAGGGAUCCAAUCGGAGCUAUAGCCACCAGCCUACGCCAGAGCCACAGCAACGCCAGAUCCGAGCCGAGUCUUCGACCUACACCACAGCUCAUGACAACGCCAGAUCCUUAAAUCCUGAACGAGGCCGGGGAUUGAACCCACCCUCUCAUGGUUCCUAGUCGGAUUCCUCUCCACUGCACCACGAUGGGAACUCCACACUCGUUAUUUCUUAUCUUUUUGAUAAGAGCCAUUCUAAGAGGUGGGAGGGGACAUUUCACUGUGGUUUGGAACUGCAUUUCCCUGAUGAUUAGUAAUGUAGGGCAUAUUUUCAUGUGCUUGUUGGCCUUCCAUGGGUCUUUUUUCGAAAAAUGCCAGUUUGGGUCCUCUGCCCAUUUUUUAAUCAGGUUGUUGAGUUGUGCAAAAUAGAAUAUUCCAACAACUCACACACACACAAACACACACAACAAAUGUGUUUUAAUAAUAGCACUACUGAGCCUUUUCUUCCUUCUGCCCAUAUUUUCUUUUCUUCCUUCAUUUUAAUUGAAGUAUAGUUGACUUACAAUAUUAUAUUAGUUUCAGAUACACAGCAUAGAAAUUCAAUUAUUAUAGACUAUACUCUACACAAAGUUACUGACUAUAUUGUCUGUGCUGUACACCUGUGUGUCUUCAUUCAUUUUAUAACCAGUAGUUUGUACCUCUUAAUGUGCAUCAACAAAUGAAUGGCUGAAGAAUAUACGGUAAAAAUAUGAUGUAAUUUUACUGAGCCAUGAAAAAGAAUGAAAUCUUCCACGUGCCACAACACAGAUGGACACAGAAGGUAUUUAUACUUAGAUAAGUCAAAGAAGAACAAGUACUCUUGUGUUUCCACCUAAAUGAGGAAUUUUUUUUUUUUUUUGUCUUUUUGCUAUUUCUUGGGCCGCGCCCACAGCACAUGGAAGUUCCCAGGAUUUCUUCUAAAAUCCAGCGGAGUUCUACGUACUGGAAGUUACAAGGAAAAUCACUAUAUGAUGAUCUUAGAAGAGACGACUUCUCCCAAGUCCUCUCAAAUCUCACCAACAAUUCUCCCCCCCCCCACCGGUCCUGCUCCUGCUCCAAUACUAGCAAUAUUUUUGCUCAAGGUUAAUUCUUACAAACCCAAACUCCCACAUACUAAUAUGAAAUGGCGCAGGAGCCACAUUCAUGGAGCUAAGAAGGCACUGCCACUCAGACCUGCCUGAAAUGAGCAGGGAAAUGAUUGAUUCCACUGGGGAUGAUCCUGAGAGAGUCUCAGGAAGUGGAACACAGCCUGGCCCCUGCACGUCCUAUGGAUGGAGGUUCUCAUUUGUGCCGCUGGGUCCAUGUGAACACAACCCGAGCCGACCCUACCCUUGAGUCAAACAAAUGAUGGGGAUGCCUCCACGUCCAUCAGAACCCCACUUGCCACCACACUUCUAAACAAGUCUCCUUGUUUCCCUCGCUUGUUCUCUUUUCCUCUUGUCUCCCUUCUGCCUCUCUUUCCUGUUUGGAGCUGUGCCUGUAACACACUUGAAAAAGGGCGCUCCCUCUGCAUCUGAACGGACUCUUUCCAUUUCGCACACAGUGAGAUGAGAAAAAUCCAGAGGAUUUUUGCCAGGUUCUGUUGCCAGGGCAGACAAGCAGAGCUGGUGACAAGCUUUAGCUGUAAUUAGGAAUUAUUUUGCCUUUAUGGCUGGCUGGUUCACCCCUGGGAGAGGCUUUUCCCUACUUUCUGGUUUGACAGCUCACACUCCUAAAAGAAGCAGGAGGUGAUGGCGUCAGAGGACCUGAGUUAAAAUCCUAUCUCUAAAAAGUUUGUGAUUGAGUUCACACAGACGUUUAUGAAAUGCCUAUUAAAAAAAAAAAAAAAAGGCAGGCUUUGGUGUUUGAAAGAUGGAAGACAUCAUCCCUGCUUUGAAGAAGCCUGCAGCCCCGCAGGAGUGUAACAAACUCGGUAUAAUGUAGUCAGUGAAAGAAGGAGGGUGGACGAGGGUCCAGGCGGUGGCAGGACCCAGCUGGGAGAUCCCAGGCUUCUCCUCCAGGGUAGGGGCACCAAGCUGUCUGCCCUUCUAGAGGACCCUGGGAUCCAGAAAAGGCACUUUCCUCAAAGAAGGGGCACCCAGCUCCUGCAGGAAAAUUCAGAAACCAGCUGUUGAAAGAGGUAACCCUGGAACUACGUCGUGAAGGGGGGUGAGGGCACAAGCGUGGCUUUCCAAGCAGCAGAAACAGCCCAGACCUAGACCCUAACACCUGCACGCCCCCCUCGUUCAGGUACAUCACACGUGCACAUCAGCUCUGCAUCAUUCAACGCCAUGAGCCCCUGAUCCAUAAAAUGAGAAUAGUCACUCUUGCCUAGCUACAUCAGGAGUUCUCGCUCGGAUUAAAGAAAGAACAUCAAGGGACGAUGGAACCUGGGAAGUCCCAUUAUCACCAUUAGGCAAGUGUGGUGCCGGACUCCAUCAAGAUGCGACUCCAUGAUAACUGUGCUGUGUGGCAGCCCUGCCCUGGCUUUGCCUCUAAUCCACCAUCUGUCCUCUGCCAUCCCCCUCCCCCCGGGGCCCCACAGGCCUCCACUGUCCUCAUCUGUAAAAUGGGUGACUUGGAUCAAGGAACACUUUAGUCCCUUCCCGAGGCUGCCAUUUUAUCCCUGAGUCCCC
RNAcentral lists this long non-coding RNA (2691 nucleotides) under Sus scrofa (pig). RNAcentral describes it as "lncRNA (ENSSSCG00045008065.1)". Lineage: Eukaryota; Metazoa; Chordata; Mammalia; Artiodactyla; Suidae. The record is from RNAcentral.